RNAcentral lists this ribosomal RNA (420 nucleotides) under Triticum aestivum (bread wheat). RNAcentral's name for it is "partial small subunit ribosomal RNA". Lineage: Eukaryota; Viridiplantae; Streptophyta; Magnoliopsida; Poales; Poaceae. The record is from RNAcentral.
AUGCUGAGCAGGUACCGGCACAUGGGGGUCAGCGAGGGGAAGCUGCGCUACGUCCAAGUGUCCAACAGAGACGACAGGUCGUGCGUGAUCCUUUCGUUUUCGCUGGAUGACGAGACCUACAGCUGGGCGCUGGAUCAUUCAGCUCAAAUUACAGAUCGGCGCGACCGCUGCCAUGUUCAGAUUGCUGCCAUAGAUCCAUUCAAAGCCAACCUUGUGUACCUCCAGCAUGGUGGCAGUGUCAUUGCCAUGGACCUGGCUAACAAAAAGGAGAUUUGGAGGAGUUCCCUUCCACAAGAAAUCUUCUUUGAAAAUUUGCUCCGUGGUAGUUCUCUUGUUCCGUGCGCGCUCCCAACAUGGCUGGCCACAAGCCAUAUCCCCACUUCUGCAGGGGCAGGGCCCUCGGUGAUCUACCUAGUGUGA